This 253-nucleotide ribosomal RNA is filed under the name uncultured bacterium. Its description in RNAcentral is "partial 16S ribosomal RNA". It matches the Rfam family "Bacterial small subunit ribosomal RNA", at positions 524 to 776 of the family's 1533-position model. The record is from RNAcentral.
UACGUAGGGCGCAAGCGUUGUCCGGAAUUAUUGGGCGUAAAGAGCUCGUAGGUGGCGUGUCGCGUCUGCCGUGAAAGCCCAUGGCUUAACUGUGGGUCUGCGGUGGAUACGGGCAGGCUGGAGGCUGGUAGGGGCAAGCGGAAUUCCUGGUGUAGCGGUGAAAUGCGCAGAUAUCAGGAAGAACACCAAUGGCGAAGGCAGCUCUCUGGGACGGUACUGACGCUGAGACGCGAAAGCGUGGGGAGCGAACAGG